CAUAUCUGAAGCACUGUAAAAUAUAUUGAAAUAUAUUUUGAAAACACUGGAUGGGCGCGCGCUGAACUGGAGCGGAGGAGGUCACCAUGGAAACGGGGCGGCAGCUCAACUGUCAAGCACCUGAACGCUGUCUCUCAUGGUUGUUUUCACUCAUUUCAGAAAUGGUUUAUUGUCUUCAGAAAAAGUCCGUUAGCAUCUCAACCUUAAUGCUAACUACAAGAGAGACUGAAAAUCAUCGAUAAACCACAAGAGUUUAGCUCCAACCCCAAUUAAGCAGACCUGAGCAGCUGAUCAAAGAUCACCAGAAACUCUGCAGAACGGUGGUCCUGCAUGCCCAGGACUGGACACCAGUGUUAUGCUGGAGAAAAAACAGCGAAAAAACAUCUGCCAUGGCUCAUUAAUCCAGAAUUGGGAUGGUGGAAGGAGCAGAAGAACCAGAAGAUCAGAGAUCAGGCAGAGAUCUACUGGUGCCCCUGUGGGAACCAAUUUACCUAAUGAGUUAGUUAAACCAAAGAUUUUUCAUCACUCACCUUUAUGUUGUUCCAAGUCAGACUUUUGUUUCAUCUUUGAAACAUAAAUGCAGAACUUUUUAAUGAAAUCUGAGAAAUUAUUUUUUUUUAUUUAUAAAAUAAAACAUUCACGAGAGCACCAUGAUGCAUUAGUGUUGAGUUGGUGUGAGAGCUGGCAAUCUCAUGGUACUUUUGUGAAAAUCUGUUGGGGAUACAUCAUUUCUGAAUACAUUAUUUUUAUUUAUUUUUUUUGCUGUUGUUGUUUUUUGUACACAAGGCAUCUGUUAAAAAAUCUUAAUUUGUGUUCUGCACAAAAGGGUCUUAUGGGUUUGAAGCAACAUGAGGGUAAGUAAUUAAUGACAGAAUUUACAUUUUUGGUUGUUCUAAUGUGGUUAUAAUUGGUCAUUGUUUCCAUUUUCAAUAUUUUAAAGAUUUAUUGUCUUGAAAAAUUAUGUUUAUACAGAAAGAUUGAUUCAUUGGAUAAGUUACAG
Molecule: long non-coding RNA, 1000 nt
Organism: Cyprinus carpio (common carp)
Lineage: Eukaryota; Metazoa; Chordata; Actinopteri; Cypriniformes; Cyprinidae
Exons: 5
Source: RefSeq, a predicted model, not a curated record